UCAGUUGUGACCGGAGCUGCCUUGCAUUAGGAAGCUAUCAGGCCGGUAAGCAAGGGCAACAGGAUCCAGACUCGAAGCUCAUGUUUGUGUGUUGAAAUAGUCCAAGGACACGCUGCAAUGAUUGGCAGCCCAGCCCGCCUCUCACGUCGAGCAAGUUCCGUUUGUGGGGUGGGCACAGAUUUUGAUGAACUCAGAGAUGACAUGACCCUUUCUGCAGUGAUGAUUAGUAAUACCACAAGCAGGUUGAGCUAUAGUUCUCAGAUAAUGCCUGGCAAAAAGCUGAAGGAUUAGUUCCUGUAGGAGGAUUCUGUCUUCUGUGUGCUCAAGGCUGAUGCUGAAAGGCACUGCCUCAUCAUUUAAUCAGCUACCUGUGUCAUCCAUUAAAAUGUGCCUAUCUGGGUGUUAUGCCAAAGACAGAUCAUCUGUGAGGUCUUAAACGCUGCUAAAUGAUAAAUA
Non-coding RNA from Cyanistes caeruleus (blue tit), 456 nucleotides. NCBI's taxonomy places the organism in Eukaryota, Metazoa, Chordata, Aves, Passeriformes, Paridae. The record is from RefSeq and is a predicted model, not a curated record.